CGCGGGGUAGAGCAGUUGGUAGCUCGUCGGGCUCAUAACCCGGAGGUCGAAGGUUCAAGUCCUUCCCCCGCAACCA
This 76-nucleotide transfer RNA is filed under the name Eubacterium sp. Its description in RNAcentral is "tRNA-Met". It matches the Rfam family "tRNA". Rfam says of the family: Transfer RNA (tRNA) molecules are approximately 80 nucleotides in length. Their secondary structure includes four short double-helical elements and three loops (D, anti-codon, and T loops). Lineage: Bacteria; Bacillati; Bacillota; Clostridia; Eubacteriales; Eubacteriaceae. The record is from RNAcentral. RNAcentral also lists the same sequence under 1 other name.